Molecule: ribosomal RNA, 493 nt
Filed under: uncultured eukaryote
Lineage: Eukaryota
Description: bacterial SSU rRNA
Rfam family: Eukaryotic small subunit ribosomal RNA
Source: RNAcentral
GUGUCGCAAGGCAUCGCUUAGUAUUUUAUUGCUUUUAGAUGUAGUAAUUGGGUAAAACUGGUUAUGAAACCUAAGGGAUCACAGUAAAGUAUUAAGUGGGGUUCCAGUUCAUUUACUUUGAGUAAAUUAGAGUGUUCAAAGCAGCCUGUAUGGGCACUGAAUACAUUAGCAUGGGGAUAAUAAAAUAGGAUCUUCACAAUAUAUUUUAUUGGUUUAAAUUGGAUAUGAAGAUAAUGAUUAAUAGGGACAGUUGGGGGUAGUUCAUAUUGGGUGGUUAGCGGUGAAAUGCUCGGAUCCAUUCAAGAUGAACUAAAGCGAAAGCAUUUUACCAAGGAUGUUUUCAUUAAUCAAGAACGAAAGUUAAGGGGAUCGAAGACGAUUAGAUACCGUCGUAGUCUUAACUAUAAACUAUGCCGACCAGGGGAUAUGAGUUGUUAGGAAUAUAUGAAAAUAUAUUCAAUUUCUUCUUAUGGACCUUGUGAGAAAUCAUAAG